RNAcentral lists this long non-coding RNA (990 nucleotides) under Brassica napus (rape). RNAcentral's name for it is "long non-coding RNA (BNAP_LNC016545)". The record is from RNAcentral. Lineage: Eukaryota; Viridiplantae; Streptophyta; Magnoliopsida; Brassicales; Brassicaceae.
AAUAAAUGAAUUAAUGAUGUAGAAACUGAAAUGAAUUUAGUGCAUAAUGAAAAAUAAAAGGAUGGAUCUAUUUCAUAUGAGAAAUAAUAUAUGACUCUAACCCAACAUACAACUCUUAAAUGUUAAACUCAUACCUAACUUUUAAAUACUAAACCCUAAACUGUUAUCACUAAACUCAAACCUCAAUCCACACCUUCCAAAUACUAAACACUAAAUACUGAUCACUAAACCUUAAAUCUAAUCACUAAACCAUAAACCCAAGUAUAGACCAUAAACCCAAGUAUAGACCCUAAACCCAGAUAGAAUGGAACAAAAAAUAUAAUAUGGUUUAAUAAACCCAAACUUCUACUUACUAAAUCAAAACCCUAUGCAUGAACCUAUAAACCCAAAUACAAUCUAUAAAUUAUUUUCCAAUAUUGAACACUUGAAGACACAUUUACUUGGUUAGCAUGUUACAUAUCUUCUAUUCCAUAUAGUCUAAGUAGUAUAGUACACGAAUGUUUAAAAUAAUCAAAAAAUUUCAAUGGUGUAUCCAUAGUAUGAAAUGCAAAUAGUAAAUUCUCUUCACCCGCAAAAAUACAACAAUACAAGACACACUAUUAAUUAUUAAAGCUAAACUCUAAUUAAGGAAUCAUAAACCCAAAUAGUAUAUAUAUAUAAUAUGGUUUACUAUACCCAAAUUUCUACUUAGUAAAUCUAAACCCUAGGCAGGAACCUAUAAACCCAAAUACAAUCUAUAAACCCUAGGCACGAUACAUGUUUACUAAACCCAAAUCCCAACCCCGCCCUUCUAAAUACUAAACCCUAAAUCCUAAUCAAUAAACCCUAAACCCAAGUAUAAACCCUAAACCCAAAUAUAAACCAUAAACCCUAAACUCUAAACCCAAAUCUCAAAAUCUAAUACUGGCCUCAAACUCACAUCUAUUACUCUAAAUACUAAACUCUAAUCACUAAUUACUAAACCCUAAACUCAAAUAUAACCUCUAAAUC